UACAGAGGUCUCGAGCGUUGUUCGGAUUCAUUGGGCGUAAAGGGUGCGUAGGUGGCGCUGUAAGUCGGGUGUGAAAUCCUGAGGCUUAACCUCGGAACUGCAUUCGAUACUGCGGCGCUUGAGGACUGGAGAGGAGACUGGAAUUCAUGGUGUAGCAGUGAAAUGCGUAGAGAUCAUGAGGAAGACCAGUGGCGAAGGCGGGUCUCUGGACAGUUCCUGACGCUGAGGCACGAAGGUCAGGGGAGCAAACGGG
This 253-nucleotide ribosomal RNA is filed under the name uncultured bacterium. Its description in RNAcentral is "partial 16S ribosomal RNA". It matches the Rfam family "Bacterial small subunit ribosomal RNA", at positions 524 to 776 of the family's 1533-position model. The record is from RNAcentral.